This is a long non-coding RNA of Trifolium pratense (red clover), 241 nucleotides long. RefSeq lists it as uncharacterized. The record is from RefSeq and is a predicted model, not a curated record. The transcript is spliced from 2 exons. Lineage: Eukaryota; Viridiplantae; Streptophyta; Magnoliopsida; Fabales; Fabaceae.
UGCAGGCAUUUAGAAUCAACACAAAUCAUUCACAUCCCAACACAUUUGAAGUUCUAAAGCUUUUUAGAUUAAUCUCUUCUUUUCAACACAUACAGAAAUGGGUUUUCGUUUACCUAAUAUCAUCAGAUCAAAGGCAUCAUCUUCAAAAGGUGUCCCAAAGGGAUAUCUAGCUGUGUAUGUAGGAGAGCAAAUGAAGAGUUGGAACGUGUUGUAACCUGGAAGCCACACUUUGGAGUGGCUA